Molecule: ribosomal RNA, 427 nt
Filed under: uncultured bacterium
Lineage: Bacteria
Description: partial 16S ribosomal RNA
Rfam family: Bacterial small subunit ribosomal RNA
Source: RNAcentral
UGGGGAAUAUUGCACAAUGGGCGCAAGCCUGAUGCAGCCAUGCCGCGUGUAUGAAGAAGGCCUUCGGGUUGUAAAGUACUUUCAGCGAGGAGGAAGGCGGUAAGGUUAAUAACCUUAUCGAUUGACGUUACUCGCAGAAGAAGCACCGGCUAACUCCGUGCCAGCAGCCGCGGUAAUACGGAGGGUGCAAGCGUUAAUCGGAAUUACUGGGCGUAAAGCGCACGCAGGCGGUCUGUCAAGUCGGAUGUGAAAUCCCCGGGCUCAACCUGGGAACUGCAUUCGAAACUGGUAGGCUAGAGUCUUGUAGAGGGGGGUAGAAUUCCAGGUGUAGCGGUGAAAUGCGUAGAGAUCUGGAGGAAUACCGGUGGCGAAGGCGGCCCCCUGGACAAAGACUGACGCUCAGGUGCGAAAGCGUGGGGAGCAAACA